UACGAAGGGGACUAGCGUUGUUCGGAUUUACUGGGCGUAAAGCGCGCGUAGGCGGAUCGCUAAGUCAGGGGUGAAAGCCCAGGGCUCAACCCUGGAACUGCCUUUGAUACUGACGAUCUGGAGAUCGGGAGAGGUUGGUGGAAUUCCGAGUGUAGAGGUGAAAUUCGUAGAUAUUCGGAGGAACACCAGAAGCGAAGGCGGCCAACUGGCCCGAUACUGACGCUGAGGCGCGAAAGUGUGGGGAUCAAACAGG
Molecule: ribosomal RNA, 253 nt
Filed under: uncultured bacterium
Lineage: Bacteria
Description: partial 16S ribosomal RNA
Rfam family: Bacterial small subunit ribosomal RNA
Source: RNAcentral